UGUUGUGUGGUUUAAUGGUUUGAGUGUUGGACUAGAAGUCUGGGAGAUCAGGGUUUGAAUCCCUGCUCAGCUA
Phrynosoma platyrhinos (Desert horned lizard) is the source of this 73-nucleotide non-coding RNA. NCBI's taxonomy places the organism in Eukaryota, Metazoa, Chordata, Lepidosauria, Squamata, Phrynosomatidae. The record is from the annotation of a GenBank genome assembly.